This 604-nucleotide ribosomal RNA is filed under the name Micrometula hyalostriata. RNAcentral describes it as "bacterial SSU rRNA". It matches the Rfam family "Eukaryotic small subunit ribosomal RNA", at positions 1220 to 1547 of the family's 1831-position model. Lineage: Eukaryota; Foraminifera; Allogromiidae. The record is from RNAcentral.
GGGUCCGGACACACUGAGGAUUGACAGGCAAAAGAUACAAGUUUUCUUUGAAAGCUUGCAUUGUAAAAUAUGCGAGUCCUUUCAUGAUUAUGUGAUAGGUGGUGCAUGGCCGUUCUUAGUUCGUGGAGUGAUCUGUCUGCUUAAUUGCGUUUCACAACGAUUUAAAAUGCUAUGUUUUCUGUGUUUGCUGUUCGGUUUUGCUCUUACGGGAGUUUUAACUUUGAACGCACACGGCGUAGCUUAAAACAAUCGGAAAGCAACGAACGUGACCGCAACCUCUUGUUGCCUUUAUUUUUAAAAGCGUGGAAAAUUUUAUAUUUUCUUACGCUUGAAAAAGGCUUUAAAACUAGAGGGACCGCUGUUCUAUUCUCUUAAACCAGAGGAAGAUUGCGGCAAUAACAGGUCUGUGAUGCCCUCAGAUGUUCCGGGCUGCACACGUGCUACAAUGAUUGUUGCAGUGAGCAUCUAUUCUCAAACGCUACCGUUGCGGAUUUUGUGAGAAGGGAGUUUGUUUUAAAGCUUUCGGGUGGAGAAGCAGGUUCUUUUUUUUUACAAUUUAUUCCGCGUUACGUGUCAGCUAAACCUGCUUCGAAAGCAAGUAGGU